Molecule: transfer RNA, 83 nt
Filed under: Lentisphaerota bacterium
Lineage: Bacteria; Pseudomonadati; Lentisphaerota
Description: Lentisphaerae bacterium (anaerobic digester metagenome) tRNA-Leu
Rfam family: tRNA
About the family: Transfer RNA (tRNA) molecules are approximately 80 nucleotides in length. Their secondary structure includes four short double-helical elements and three loops (D, anti-codon, and T loops).
Source: RNAcentral
GCCGGAGUGGCGAAAUGGCAGACGCACUGGACUCAAAAUCCAGCGGUGGCAACACCGUGUGGGUUCGACUCCCUCCUCCGGCA